This is a long non-coding RNA of Leguminivora glycinivorella, 347 nucleotides long. RefSeq lists it as uncharacterized. The record is from RefSeq and is a predicted model, not a curated record. NCBI's taxonomy places the organism in Eukaryota, Metazoa, Arthropoda, Insecta, Lepidoptera, Tortricidae. The transcript is spliced from 3 exons.
UACAUCAUAGUAAAUAUUUCAUGACUCUGAUGGAGUCUCAAAUAAAUAUAAUAUAUUAAUUUUAUAUAUUUUGUCUACCUGGGUUUGUCACCCUAUGUACUUGAUGCUCCAUAUGCAAAUAGGUUAACGAUCAUGGGUGGUCCAUUUCCUUUUUUGACCCUUUUGGGUGCACACGCACUUUCUCUAUAAGACCAACCUCAUGGUGGUCAAAACGGUGGAAGCAGGAGGACUGCAAUAAUCCUCAUUGAGGAUGAUCUGUCUUCUGCUGUGGGAUUGGGAGCGCUCCGCUAGGAAAUAUCUUUGACCUUCAGCGUUCCAAGGUCCCGCGUCUGAGCAACUGCGUCAUG